RNAcentral lists this long non-coding RNA (285 nucleotides) under Fragaria vesca (wild strawberry). Its description in RNAcentral is "long non-coding RNA (FVES_LNC002011)". Lineage: Eukaryota; Viridiplantae; Streptophyta; Magnoliopsida; Rosales; Rosaceae. The record is from RNAcentral.
CCAGGGUACUCACCAGUCAUCGGACCCUUAAAUAAUGACACUGCCAUUUGGGUCUGCACGGGACUGUCCAGCUUACGAGACAUUAACCAAAGAGGAGCGGCAGAUCAGAUGGCCAGCAAAAGAGGUGGCAGUAGAAGAGAGCUUCCCCCCUCCCCGAAAGGUGCCAAACUCCAAAGCGACCGAAAAUGGAACGAGUACAAAAAUCAGUUCCAAUACGAUCAUUAAUUGAUGAACAGAAGCACUUUCAACCCCCACCGAGAUUCUCAGAUCACAGACCCCAUGAUC